GGAUGAACGUUGGCGGUGUGCCUAAUACAUGCAAGUCGAACGGAGAUAGUAGCAAUAUUAUCUUAGUGGCGAACGGGUGAGUAACGCGUUGGUGAUCUGCCUCGAAGUGUGGAAUAACGCUCCGAAAGGAGCGCUAAUACCGCAUGUGCUCUACAAGUUUAGAAAUUGUAGAGUAAAGGAUUUAUUCGCUUCGAGAGGAGCCUGCGUCCCAUCAGCUAGUUGGUAGGGUAAAAGCCUACCAAGGCUAUGACGGGUAGGGGACCUGAGAGGGUGGCCCCCCACAAUGGAACUGAAACACGGUCCAUACACCUACGGGUGGCAGCAGUAGGGAAUAUUAGAAAUGGACGAAAGUCUGAUCUAGCGACACCGCGUGUGCGAAGAAGGCCUUCGGGUUGUAAAGCACUUUUUGGAAGGAAUAGGAAGGAAGGUACUUCCAGAAUAAGUCUCGGCUAACUACGUGCCAGCAGCCGCGGUAACACGUAGGAGGCAAACGUUAUCCGGAUUUACUGGGCGUAAAGCGCGUGUAGGUGGUUCUGUAAGUAGGGCGUGAAAGCUCCCGGCUCAACUGGGAGAGGCCGUUCUAAACUGCAGAGCUAGAGGAUGGUAGAGGGAGGUGGAAUUCCAGGUGUAGCGGUGGAAUGCGCAGAUAUCUGGAGGAACACCAGUGGCGAAGGCGGCCUCCUGGACCAUUCCUGACACUCAGACGCGAAAGCUAGGGUAGCAAACGGGAUUAGAGACCCCGGUAGUCCUAGCCCUAAACGAUGUAGACUAGACGUCGGCGGUGUAAAAACUGUCGGUGUCCAAGCUAACGCGAUAAGUCUACCGCCUGGGGACUACGGCCGCAAGGUUA
RNAcentral lists this ribosomal RNA (850 nucleotides) under uncultured Anaerolineae bacterium. Its description in RNAcentral is "bacterial SSU rRNA". It matches the Rfam family "Bacterial small subunit ribosomal RNA", at positions 27 to 896 of the family's 1533-position model. Lineage: Bacteria; Bacillati; Chloroflexota; Anaerolineae. The record is from RNAcentral.